Molecule: small RNA, 1512 nt
Filed under: Pan troglodytes (chimpanzee)
Lineage: Eukaryota; Metazoa; Chordata; Mammalia; Primates; Hominidae
Description: retained intron
Source: RNAcentral
UCUCUUCCCCUUGUCCAUAGCCUAGAUCGAGCUCCCUGUGUGCACCGCGCGCUGCCCGAGGCGCAGGUCAACCAGAAUCAAGAUGUCUGGGACUGAGGAAGCAAUUCUUGGAGGACGUGACAGCCAUCCUGCUGCUGGCGGCGGCUCGGUGUUAUGCUUUGGACAGUGCCAGUACACAGCAGAAGAGUACCAGGCCAUCCAGAAGGCCCUGAGGCAGAGGCUGGGCCCAGAAUACAUAAGUAGCCGCAUGGCUGGCGGAGGCCAGAAGGUGUGCUACAUUGAGGGUCAUCGGGUAAUUAAUCUGGCCAAUGAGAUGUUUGGUUACAAUGGCUGGGCACACUCCAUCACGCAGCAGAAUGUGGGUGAGUAUGCUCUCCAGCAGUGGGGACUUCUGCACUGUCCAGCUCCUGCUGAAAGUCUGCUGUGGGUGAGGAGGUAAGAUUUUGUUGACCUCAACAAUGGCAAGUUCUACGUGGGAGUCUGUGCAUUUGUGAGGGUCCAGCUGAAGGAUGGUUCAUAUCAUGAAGAUGUUGGUUAUGGUGUUAGUGAGGGCCUCAAGUCCAAGGCUUUAUCUUUGGAGAAGGCAAGGAAGGAGGCGGUGACAGACGGGCUGAAGCGAGCCCUCAGGAGUUUUGGGAAUGCACUUGGAAACUGUAUUCUGGACAAAGACUACCUGAGAUCACUAAAUAAGCUUCCAUGCCAGUUGCCUCUUGAAGUGGAUUUAACUAAAGCGAAGAGACAAGAUUUUGAACCGUCUGUGGAAGAGGCAAGAUACAACAGCUGCCGACCGAACAUGGCCCUGGGACACCCACAACUACAGGAGGCGACCUCCCCUUCCAGACCAAGCCAUGCUGUGAUACAGGCGGACAAGGACUGCAGCUCCCGGUAUGCGGCCUAAGUCCCCUUCCUUUCCUCUGCGGCCCCUUCCUAUGUCACGGGGGCUGCCUCCACUCAGGCCUUCGGAGCCAGCCAGCCGUGCGUGUGCUCCCAGCAGCCGUGGCUGUUGCUCAGGAGCCCUCGUCCCCGCUGUCCUCUCAUGCAGAAGCCUGACCUCAUCCGCCGUGGAGAGCGAGGCCACGCACCAGCGGAAGCUCCGGCAGAAGCAGCUGCAGCAGCAGUUCCGGGAGCGGAUGGAGAAGCAGCACGUUCGAGUCUCCACGCCGUCAGCUGAGAAGAGUGAGGCAGCGCCUCCGGCCCCUCCUCUGACGCACAGCACUCCUGUAACCGUCUCAGAACCACUCCCGGAGAAAGACUUCCUUGCAGGAGUGACUCAAGAAUUAAUCAAGACUCUUGAAGACAACUCUGAAAAGUGGGCUGUGGCUCCCGAUGCAGGGGAUGGUGUGGUCAGGCCCUCGUCUACAGCAGACCCAGCCCAGGCCUCUGACACACUAGCCUUGAACAACCAGAUGGUGACCCAGAACAGGACUCCACACAGCCUUUGCCACCAGAAACCACAAGCAAAAUCUGGAUCUUGGGACCUCCAAACUUAUAGCGCCGACCAACGCACAACAG